RNAcentral lists this ribosomal RNA (278 nucleotides) under uncultured prokaryote. RNAcentral describes it as "partial 16S ribosomal RNA". It matches the Rfam family "Bacterial small subunit ribosomal RNA", at positions 524 to 801 of the family's 1533-position model. The record is from RNAcentral.
UACGUAGGUGGCGAGCGUUGUCCGGAUUUACUGGGCGUAAAGGGAGCGUAGGCGGACUUUUAAGUGAGAUGUGAAAUACCCGAGCUCAACUUGGGUGCUGCAUUUCAAACUGGAGGUCUAGAGUGUCGGAGAGGUAAGUGGAAUUCCUAGUGUAGCGGUGAAAUGCGUAGAGAUUAGGAAGAACCCCGGUGGCGAAGGCGACUUACUGGACGAUAACUGACGCUGAGGCUCGAAAGCGUGGGGAGCAAACAGGAUUAGAUACCCCGGUAGUCCCUGAG